RNAcentral lists this ribosomal RNA (497 nucleotides) under uncultured bacterium. Its description in RNAcentral is "partial 16S ribosomal RNA". It matches the Rfam family "Bacterial small subunit ribosomal RNA", at positions 28 to 507 of the family's 1533-position model. The record is from RNAcentral.
GAUGAACGCUGGCGGCGUGCCUAAUACAUGCAAGUCGAGCGAACAGACGAGGAGCUUGCUCCUCUGACGUUAGCGGCGGACGGGUGAGUAACACGUGGAUAACCUACCUAUAAGACUGGGAUAACUUCGGGAAACCGGAGCUAAUACCGGAUAAUAUAUUGAACCGCAUGGUUCAAUAGUGAAAGACGGUUUUGCUGUCACUUAUAGAUGGAUCCGCGCCGCAUUAGCUAGUUGGUAAGGUAACGGCUUACCAAGGCGACGAUGCGUAGCCGACCUGAGAGGGUGAUCGGCCACACUGGAACUGAGACACGGUCCAGACUCCUACGGGAGGCAGCAGUAGGGAAUCUUCCGCAAUGGGCGGAAGCCUGACGGAGCAACGCCGCGUGAGUGAUGAAGGUCUUCGGAUCGUAAAACUCUGUUAUUAGUGAAGAACAAAUGUGUAAGUAACUAUGCACGUCUUGACGGUACCUAAUCAGAAAGCCACGGCUAACUACGUG